GUGGAUGCCUUGGCACUAAGAGCCGAUGAAAGACGUGAUAAGCUGCGAAAAGCUUCGGGGAGGGGCAAAUACCCAUUGAUCCGGAGAUUUCUGAAUGGGGAAACCUACCUGAGCAAACCUCAGGUAUCCUGACGCCAAUCCAUAACGUCAGGAAGGGAACCCGGUGAACUGAAACAUCUAAGUAGCCGGAGGAAGAGAAAACAACAUGUGAUUCUGUGAGUAGCGGCGAGCGAAAACGGAAGAGCCCAAACCAGUGUGCGUGCAUGCUGGGGUUCGGACCGCGGAAUUGAUUCAACAAGUUUAGCAGAACGGUUUUGGGAAAGCCGGCCAGAGAGGGUGAAAGCCCCGUAAGCGAAAGACGAGUUGACAUGGCGGGAUCCAGAGUACCACGAGACACGUGGAACCUUGUGGGAAUAUGCGGGGACCACCCCGUAAGGCUAAAUACUACUUAGUGACCGAUAGUGCAUAAGUACUGUGAAGGAAAGUUGAAAAGGACCCCGGGGAGGGGAGUGAAAAAGAACCUUGAAAC
This 529-nucleotide non-coding RNA is filed under the name [Ruminococcus] lactaris ATCC 29176. RNAcentral describes it as "Ruminococcus lactaris ATCC 29176 Bacterial large subunit ribosomal RNA". It matches the Rfam family "Bacterial large subunit ribosomal RNA", at positions 24 to 556 of the family's 2925-position model. The record is from Rfam by way of RNAcentral. Lineage: Bacteria; Bacillati; Bacillota; Clostridia; Lachnospirales; Lachnospiraceae.